This 520-nucleotide ribosomal RNA is filed under the name Planococcus columbae. RNAcentral describes it as "bacterial SSU rRNA". It matches the Rfam family "Bacterial small subunit ribosomal RNA", at positions 27 to 545 of the family's 1533-position model. The record is from RNAcentral. Lineage: Bacteria; Bacillati; Bacillota; Bacilli; Caryophanales; Caryophanaceae.
CGGACGAACGCUGGCGGCGUGCCUUCGAGCGGAGAUAGUGGAGCUUGCUCCAUUAUCUUAGCGGCGGACGGGUGAGUAACACGUGGGCAACCUGCCCUGCAGAUCGGGAUAACUCCGGGAAACCGGUGCUAAUACCGAAUAGUUUGCGGCCUCUCAUGAGGCUGCACGGAAAGACGGUUUCGGCUGUCACUGCAGGAUGGGCCCGCGGCGCAUUAGCUAGUUGGUGAGGUAACGGCUCACCAAGGCCACGAUGCGUAGCCGACCUGAGAGGGUGAUCGGCCACACUGGGACUGAGACACGGCCCAGACUCCUACGGGAGGCAGCAGUAGGGAAUCUUCCGCAAUGGACGAAAGUCUGACGGAGCAACGCCGCGUGAGUGAAGAAGGUUUUCGGAUCGUAAAACUCUGUUGUGAGGGAAGAACAAGUACCAAUUAACUAUGGUACCUUGACGGACCUCACCAGAAAGCCACGGCUAACUACGUGCCAGCAGCCGCGGUAUACGUAGGUGGCAAGCGUUGUC